RNAcentral lists this ribosomal RNA (406 nucleotides) under uncultured bacterium. Its description in RNAcentral is "partial 16S ribosomal RNA". It matches the Rfam family "Bacterial small subunit ribosomal RNA", at positions 28 to 526 of the family's 1533-position model. The record is from RNAcentral.
GAUGAACGCUAGCUACAGGCUUAACACAUGCAAGUCGAGGGAACGGCGCACGGGUGAGUAACACGUAUCCAACCUGCCCUUUACUCGGGGAUAGCCUUUCGAAAGAAAGAUUAAUACCCGAUAACAAGGAUGGGGAUGCGUUCAAUUAGGUUGUUGGUGGGGUAACGGCCCACAAAGCCUUCGAUGGAUAGGGGUUAUGAGAGGAAUGUCCCCGACAUUGGAACUGGUACACGAGCCAAACUCGUACGGGAGGCAGCAUGGAGGAAUAUUGGUCAAUGGGCGCUAGCCUGAACCAGCCAAGUAGCGUGAAGGAUGAAGGCUUAUGGGUCGUAAACUUCUUUUAUAUAAGAAUAUGUAUUAUAUGAAUAAGGAUCGGCUAACUCCGUGCCAGCCGCCGCGGUAAUUC